GUGCCAGCCGCCGCGGUAAUACGUAGGGUGCAAGCGUUGUCCGGAAUUAUUGGGCGUAAGGAGCUCGUAGGCGGUCUGUCGCGUCGGCUGUGAAAACUCGGGGCUCAACCCCGAGCCUGCAGUCGAUACGGGCAGACUAGAGUGCUGUAGGGGAGACUGGAAUUCCUGGUGUAGCGGUGAAAUGCGCAGAUAUCAGGAGGAACACCGGUGGCGAAGGCGGGUCUCUGGGCAGUAACUGACGCUGAGGAGCGAAAGCGUGGGGAGCGAACAGGAUUAGAU
This 279-nucleotide ribosomal RNA is filed under the name uncultured Actinomycetales bacterium. RNAcentral describes it as "partial 16S ribosomal RNA". It matches the Rfam family "Bacterial small subunit ribosomal RNA", at positions 505 to 783 of the family's 1533-position model. Lineage: Bacteria; Bacillati; Actinomycetota; Actinomycetes; Actinomycetales. The record is from RNAcentral.